Molecule: transfer RNA, 73 nt
Filed under: Stegodyphus mimosarum
Lineage: Eukaryota; Metazoa; Arthropoda; Arachnida; Araneae; Eresidae
Rfam family: tRNA
About the family: Transfer RNA (tRNA) molecules are approximately 80 nucleotides in length. Their secondary structure includes four short double-helical elements and three loops (D, anti-codon, and T loops).
Source: Rfam by way of RNAcentral
GCCUUUGUCUUGUACUGGUCAGCAUCCUCGACUUGUAUUCAAAAGGUCCGUGGUUCGAAUCCCGGCGAAGGCG